GACGAACGCUGGCGGCGUGCCUAAUACAUGCAAGUCGAGCGGACCAAAGGGAGCUUGCUCCUGGAGGUUAGCGGCGAACGGGUGAGUAACACGUGGGCAACCUGCCUGUAAGACUGGGAUAACAUCGAGAAAUCGGUGCUAAUACCGGAUAAUAAAAAGAACUGCAUGGUUCUUUUUUGAAAGAUGGUUUCGGCUAUCACUUACAGAUGGGCCCGCGGCGCAUUAGCUAGUUGGUGAGGUAACGGCUCACCAAGGCGACGAUGCGUAGCCGACCUGAGAGGGUGAUCGGCCACACUGGGACUGAGACACGGCCCAGACUCCUACGGGAGGCAGCAGUAGGGAAUCUUCCGCAAUGGACGAAAGUCUGACGGAGCAACGCCGCGUGAGUGAUGAAGGUUUUCGGAUCGUAAAACUCUGUUGUUAGGGAAGAACAAGUGCCGUUCGAAAGGGCGGCACCUUGACGGUACCUAACGAGAAAGCCACGGCUAACUACGUGCCAGCAGCCGCGGC
Molecule: ribosomal RNA, 510 nt
Filed under: uncultured bacterium
Lineage: Bacteria
Description: bacterial SSU rRNA
Rfam family: Bacterial small subunit ribosomal RNA
Source: RNAcentral